CAGGGAGACAAUACUGAUUUUGAUGUCUGAAUUAUUUUUAUCUUUAGACCAAAGUCCUGUCACCUCAGGUCGAUCGGUACCUCAGUUUUAUGAUUCAAAAACUAGUUAAUUAAUUUUUGAAUUUUCAAUUCGGUUCCUAAACUUUGUCUAGGUCACACCCAACAAGGGUACUCCUGGGCCAUUAGCUCAGGUGGUUAGAGCGCACCCCUGAUAAGGGUGAGGUCCCUGGUUCAAGUCCAGGAUGGCCCAUUCGGUGUUGGGGGUAUAGCUCAGUUGGUAGAGCGCCUGCUUUGCAAGCAGGAUGUCAGCGGUUCGAGUCCGCUUACCUCCACUGAUCGACCUUUUGAACCCUGGAAAAGGAGAUUAUCUUUGUUGAUUGUGAUUUAGAUUUUAAGUGUUAACUGAAGGAACCUAGCUUCCUAUCAUUCCUAAAUUAACUAUUUAUUAGGUUGAUAGCAUGCUGGGCUCACUGCGAUUUCAAAAGAUUGCAGAGAUGUUCAGUAGAACCUUGACAACUGCACAGGUGAGUCUGGAAAAAUAAAGCAUCUCAUGGAUGCAUUGUUUUAGUUGGAUACUUUUUUCUGGAAUACAGAAGUUUUAGUAACCAUCUCUUUGACAAUGUUUAAUUCUUGAGCAAGAGCCGAGACUUUAUAACCUAGCUUGCUAAGUAUUAUUUAUUCUUGGUAAGUGAUAACAUUCAAUCAUUAAUUAAUUAAUGAUUGAAUGUUAAUAGUGUUAUGGAGAUUUAU
RNAcentral lists this transfer RNA (749 nucleotides) under uncultured cyanobacterium. RNAcentral describes it as "partial miscellaneous RNA". The stretch from base 259 to 331 matches the Rfam family "tRNA". The record is from RNAcentral. Lineage: Bacteria; Bacillati; Cyanobacteriota.